Molecule: unclassified non-coding RNA, 376 nt
Filed under: uncultured Actinomycetes bacterium
Lineage: Bacteria; Bacillati; Actinomycetota; Actinomycetes
Description: uncultured actinobacterium contains 16S-23S intergenic spacer region
Source: RNAcentral
UCCGAGUUGACCCCGGCAGUCUCCGAUGAGUCCCCGGCAUAACCCGCUGGCAACAUCGAACGAGGGUUGCGCUCGUUGCGGGACUUAACCCAACAUCUCACGACACGAGCUGACGACAGCCAUGCACCACCUGUGAACGGCCCCGAAGGACCCGACAUCUCUGCCGGAUUUCCGCCCAUGUCAAACCCAGGUAAGGUUCUUCGCGUUGCAUCGAAUUAAUCCGCAUAAUCCACCGCUUGUGCGGGUCCCCGUCAAUUCCUUUGAGUUUUAACCUUGCGGCCGUACUCCCCAGGCGGUCAACUUCACGCGUUAGCUGCGGCACCGGAGGGGUCGAUACCCCCGACACCUAGUGCCCACCGUUUACGGCGUGGACUAC